AUCCAGAUGACGAGUCCAAAAUAGGACGAAAUGCGAAUCAUGGAU
This 45-nucleotide non-coding RNA is filed under the name Trichobilharzia regenti. Lineage: Eukaryota; Metazoa; Platyhelminthes; Trematoda; Strigeidida; Schistosomatidae. The record is from RNAcentral.